UUCAAGAAUUGAAAUCUUAAAUAUGGUUAGGAGUAGAAGAUGACAAAGUGGGGAGAACCAAGACUUCGUAUUCUUAACUCGUAUGUAAUUAAUGUUAUAUUAAUGUAAUAUUAAUGAACGUUAUUCCAAGUCUUGAAAUGCUGAGUUGCUGUUGUAGUAGUAGGAGAUGUUUUCGUUGCAGUUGUUGUUGUAGUUUUUGAUGCUGUUGUCGUUUUGACAAAGCUUGUAUCAACUCCCUCUGUGUGUCGGUCUGGUCAAAAGUUUGCACACGCUUUUCUUCCAUUUCCCAUUCUCGGAUCAAGUUAAAACUUUGCACAAUAAUUCAUUCAAUAUAUUGUUGGGGAUUAAUUAUUUGUUUGAUUUCGAAAUAAGGGAAAUAAAUGCCAUUUAAUGAGAGAUGUGAAUAUAAAAAUAUAUGUAUGGAUUUAUGAAUUUAGUCCCCUUACCACAUUUUGACACGUUAUGUCCUCCACUUCCCAUUCUCAGAUCAAGUUGAAAUUUUGCGAUAACAUUACACGAAUCAAUACAAAAUUAACCGAAUAGUUAACCAUUAGUAUUAAUUAAUUCAUUUAUUUUGUUUUAUAAAGCAGAAAGGAAGCUAAACCCUGUAAUUUUCAGACAAAUGGUAGUAAUUAACGGCUUAUUCCCCUUAGAUGAGCUUUUGGUUACAUUUUUGUGUUCAAAUGCUUUUUAACAUUAAAAUCUGACACGCUUUAAAAUGAAAGUAAAAAUAUUUUUUUGAUAAUAUACAUUAGCACAAUCGUGUCCCUUUCCUUUUCGCCCCAAACUAAAAAAUUUAUACUGAUGUCUCUUUUAGUAUUCAUUUUUGCUUGUUACUUUACUUAUGUUAAACUUGAGGGUCAAUUUUGAAUUGAAACAUGCAACUGUAUAUUACCAUUUUUAAAUUACUAAAACA
This is a non-coding RNA of Biomphalaria pfeifferi, 916 nucleotides long. Lineage: Eukaryota; Metazoa; Mollusca; Gastropoda; Planorbidae. The record is from the annotation of a GenBank genome assembly.